Molecule: ribosomal RNA, 497 nt
Filed under: uncultured bacterium
Lineage: Bacteria
Description: partial 16S ribosomal RNA
Rfam family: Bacterial small subunit ribosomal RNA
Source: RNAcentral
GAUGAACGCUGGCGGCGUGCCUAAUACAUGCAAGUCGAGCGAACAGAUGAGGAGCUUGCUCCUCUGACGUUAGCGGCGGACGGGUGAGUAACACGUGGAUAACCUACCUAUAAGACUGGGAUAACUUCGGGAAACCGGAGCUAAUACCGGAUAAUAUAUUGAACCGCAUGGUUCAAUAGUGAAAGACGGUUUUGCUGUCACUUAUAGAUGGAUCCGCGCCGCAUUAGCUAGUUGGUACGGUAACGGCUUACCAAGGCAACGAUGCGUAGCCGACCUGAGAGGGUGAUCGGCCACACUGGAACUGAGACGCGGUCCAGACUCCUACGGGAGGCAGCAGUAGGGAAUCUUCCGCUAUGGGCGAAAGCCUGACGGAGCAACGCCGCGUGAGUGAUGAAGGUCUUCGGAUCGUAAAACUCUGUUAUGAGGGAAGAACAAAUGUGUAAGUAACUAUGCACGUCUUGACGGUACCUAAUCAGAAAGCCACGGCUAACUACGUG